CAUGCAAUGUUCCCACGUGAAGCAAGGCACAUGGCCGAUGGACUACUGCCCCACAAUACUUUACGAUUGGUAGCGGCAGAUGCUCGUGACAACAUGCCAGGCAGACACGUUCCAAGUCAUAGCCAGAUCAGAUUCUUGUGGAACACUCAUGCAUACACCCCGACUUGCCGAUUGAGACCAAAGGACAUGUCCCACGAAGAGCAACUACGUCGGCAUAUCACGAUUGUUGACGGCCGCUACACAGCAGUUCCGGAAAUGCGCCAAGCAAGCUCGACUCAAGAAAACUGCAGUGAGGAGAGUCGACUGCGGUCUGAAGCAGAGAGACUAUGGCUUACGACGUCAGCUGACAGCAGUGCCACUGCACAGCCGAGUUCAAGCAGUGGAGCACUUUUGCUGCACAGUGCUAUGUGAGUGCCCAGUAACUAUUGCGCAUUUGAUUGAAAGAAGCCACGCGUGUGAUAGUCAUUACAUACAGAUCAAUGAUUCCUAAGGCUAAUUCUCUUUCUCAAAUACUCUGCAGUGUUUCAACAAAAUGAGUCAUUCUGAAAACAAUUAUUCUUGAAUUGUGCCUAAUAAAUAUCAUGAACCUG
This is a long non-coding RNA of Rhipicephalus microplus (southern cattle tick), 590 nucleotides long. Lineage: Eukaryota; Metazoa; Arthropoda; Arachnida; Ixodida; Ixodidae. The record is from RefSeq and is a predicted model, not a curated record.